GACGAACGGCUGGCGGCGUGCUUAACACAUGCAAGUCGAGCGGUAAGGCCCUUCGGGGGUACACGAGCGGCGAACGGGUGAGUAACACGUGAGCAAUCUGCCCUUCACUUUGGGAUAACUCUGGGAAACGAGAGCUAAUACCGAAUACGACCACUUCAGGCAUCUGAUGGUGGUGGAAAGUUCCGGCGGUGAAGGAUGAGCUCGCGGCCUAUCAGCUAGUUGGUGGAGUAACGGCCCACCAAGGCUUCGACGGGUAGCCGGCCUGAGAGGGUGACCGGCCACACUGGGACUGAGACACGGCCCAGACUCCUACGGGAGGCAGCAGUGGGGAAUAUUGGACAAUGGGCGAAAGCCUGAUCCAGCAACGCCGCGUGAGGGAUGACGGCCUUCGGGUUGUAAACCUCUUUCAGUAGGGACGAAGCGCAAGUGACGGUACCUACAGAAGAAGCACCGGCCAACUACGUG
Molecule: ribosomal RNA, 465 nt
Filed under: uncultured bacterium
Lineage: Bacteria
Description: bacterial SSU rRNA
Rfam family: Bacterial small subunit ribosomal RNA
Source: RNAcentral